This 85-nucleotide transfer RNA is filed under the name Candidatus Woesearchaeota archaeon. Its description in RNAcentral is "tRNA-Leu". It matches the Rfam family "tRNA". From Rfam's summary of the family: Transfer RNA (tRNA) molecules are approximately 80 nucleotides in length. Their secondary structure includes four short double-helical elements and three loops (D, anti-codon, and T loops). Lineage: Archaea; Nanobdellati; Candidatus Woesearchaeota. The record is from RNAcentral.
GUGGGGGUAGCAAAGUCUGGUCAAAUGCGCAGGACUUAAGAUCCUGUCCCUUAUGGGUUCGAGGGUUCGAAUCCCUCCCCCCACA